AUGGGGGAUGUAGUUCUCCAUGCAGGGGAUGAUGGGAGAUGUAGUUCUCUAAUCAGAGGAUGAUGGGAGAUGUAGUUCUCCAUGCAGUGGGAUGAUGGGGGAUGUAGUUCUCCAUGCAGGGGAUGAUGGGAGAUGUAGUUAUCUAUGCAGGGGGAUGAUGGGAGAUGUAGUUCUCCAUGCAGGGGAUGAUGGGAGAUGUAGUUCUCCAUGCAGGGGAUGAUGGGAGAUGCAGUUAUCCAUGCAGUGGGAUGAUGGGGGAUGUAGUUCUCCAUGCAGUGGGAUGAUGGGAGAUGUAGUUAUCCAUGCAGUGGGAUGAUGGGGGAUGUAGUUCUCCAUGCAGGGGAUGAUGGGAGAUGUAGUUAUCUGUGCAGAGGAUGAUGGGAGAUGUAGUUCUCCAUGCAGUGUGAUGCAGAGAUCCUACAUGUCCCUUCCCAGUAGAGGAAGCAGACUC
Non-coding RNA from Pelobates cultripes (western spadefoot toad), 451 nucleotides. Lineage: Eukaryota; Metazoa; Chordata; Amphibia; Anura; Pelobatidae. The record is from the annotation of a GenBank genome assembly.